CGCGCUCUCAUUAAAAGUCACAUUUCAUAAGUAAUUAAACCUAAACGCCUCAAACUAACGCUAAUAAUUGUGAGAUGAAGUGCUGGACUACCUAUAUAACAGGGACAAAAGUGGAUUUACGUGAUUAAUGAAUGAAAACAAGAAAAAAAGCGAAAAAAAAUCUUCGCUCAAUAAAAUAAAUAAAUAGAUAAAAUAAAUGUAUUGAAUAUUUAUAAGUGAUGGUUACAUUAAUAACACAAUCAACAACAAAAUAAACAGCAAGAGGAAGAGGAAGAACAAGAGGAAGAGGAAGAGGAAGAACAAGAGGAAGAGGAAGAGGAAGAACAAGAGGACCACAAGGAUAUUCUAAGAACACAAGACUCGAUCACCUAAGAUCAAGAUCAAGAUUACCCUCCUGAUCCGCCGCCAUUACAUGAGGACAGUAACAGCUGACGGUCUUUAAAGCUUUCUUCUUCGCAUAUCUGGGAAGGACGCUAACAGCUGGUCCUGAAAGCUUCUUUGACUCGCUAAGGAAAGUAACCUAACAACUAUUACUACUAAUAUAUGAAGUAUUGAAGUCACUUUGGGCCCUUAGCUAAGCAAGUUUUGGUGGUAGAAUCUUAAUAAUAGUAAUAUGAGAGGUAGUGUGAUGUGAGCCCCCCUGUGUGUACAUACGUAUCUUAAAUGAAUGUUCACAGCCAUGUCCUCACUGAUACACUAUAUUUUGCAGUGUUAUUGUGUAUUGUAAGCUUUCUUGGCCUGUAAAGCUUAGUGUGGGAGUAGCUGGUGGUCCUGCAUCUGCAACCACUACCAAGGGGCCUCAGUUUUCCCCAGACUGGAGGAGAAUGGUGCGUGUGUAGCAGUGAGGUGGGUAAGCAGGUGGAGAGCAGGUGAGGUAGAGCAGGUAGCAGGUAGGUGGCGCCUCACAGGAUCACUGAAGGAUUAAAACAUUUGGAAGUGAAUUUCAGUGAGAAGCUUCAUCCUAAGAUAAUGAAAUGUAUUGUUUAGAAAGACAAGAGUAAAGAAAAUAUGCUGGAAUGUUUGCUUGCUAAAAAUGUUUAUCUUCAUAGUGUAGACAGCUACUACUUGUAUGAUAGUUAGCUUGUAUGAUAGUUAAGUCAGUGUUUGAUAAGCCUGCCAAUGGUAACACUGUACACAACAUAUUAGGUUAGGUUAGGUUAGGUUAGGAAACUUGAGAUGAAGUUACAGAGAGAAGGAUAGAAGCCAUAGGAGGGUAGUUUGGAAAUGAAAGCUUUGUGCCAGACUAUGAAAAGCUUGUGAUAUGUCCAAGGCAACAGCAAAAGUUUCACCAAAAUCUCUAAAAGAAGAUGACCAAGACUCAGUAAGGAAAGCCAGAAGAUCACCAGUAGAGCGGCCUUGACGGAACCCAUACUGGCGAUCAGAUACAAGGUUGUCAAGUGAUACAUGUUUAACAAUCUUCCUGUUGAGGAUAGAUUCAAAAACUUUAGAUAGGCAGGAAAUUAAAGCAAUAGGACGGUAGUUUGAGGGAUUAGAACGGUCACCCUUUUGUUGUUGUUGUUGUUGGUAGUGAUGGUGGUUGUGGUGAUAACUGUAGUGGUGGUAGUGGUAGUGGUAGUAGUAGUGGUAGUAAUAGUAGUGUGCAACUACUACUACUACUACUAUUAUUAUUCCUACCACUACUACUACUACCACUACUAUAUUUUUCUGUUCCUACUACUACUACUACUACUACUACUACUACUACUACUACUACUACUACUAUUACUACUACUAUUAUUAUUAUUAUUAUUAUUCCUACCACUACUACUACUACUACUACUACUACUACUACUACUACUACUACUACUACUACUACUACUACUACUACUACUUAUUGCAGGAGUGUCUUGUGAAAUGACCCAGGAAAUGAAGAAUGGCUGGAGUGUGCCUGUGAAGAAGACACUGAAUUACAAAACAGUCAUAGAGGUUUUCUGUUUCCCGCCCUUCAAGUUGCUACUACUACUACUACUACUACUACUACUACUACUAUUAAUAAUGAGGAGCCUCGCUGUGUGGACCAGGACAAUGACAGCACCUACACUAUCCUGGACCUCUACUACUACUACUACUACUAUUACUGCUACUACUACCACUGCUACCAACACUGGCCUCUAUGUUGGCCUGGUGUUUGGGUUAAUUUUGUGUCUAAUGUUUGUGGCAACACUGUUCUUCCUU
This is a long non-coding RNA of Scylla paramamosain (green mud crab), 2175 nucleotides long. RefSeq lists it as uncharacterized. Lineage: Eukaryota; Metazoa; Arthropoda; Malacostraca; Decapoda; Portunidae. The record is from RefSeq and is a predicted model, not a curated record. The transcript has 4 exons.